UACGGGGGGAGCAAGCGUUGUUCGGAUUUACUGGGCGUAAAGGGCGCGUAGGCGGCGUAACAAGUCACUUGUGAAAUCUCCGGGCUUAACCCGGAGCGGCCAAGUGAUACUGUUGUGCUAGAGUUCGGUAGGGGAGUCUGGAAUUCCUGGUGUAGCGGUGAAAUGCGCAGAUAUCAGGAGGAACACCGGUGGCGAAGGCGGGACUCUGGGCCGAUACUGACGCUGAGGAGCGAAAGCGUGGGGAGCAAACAGG
Molecule: ribosomal RNA, 253 nt
Filed under: uncultured prokaryote
Description: partial 16S ribosomal RNA
Rfam family: Bacterial small subunit ribosomal RNA
Source: RNAcentral